GCCUGCUUCGGCUGGAGAGCCGAAGCCCGGCGGAGCCAAUCACGGACGUCGUCUGUUUGCAGCUCCUCUCGGAAAAAGCCGAGGGACCUGAGGCACCAAUUAGAAUGUGUCGCUGGAAAUCCACGCCCGAAGAACGAAAAAUGCCGAGGACACCCGAAUCAAAGGAAGGUGGGUUCGCCGUGUUCUUUGGCUGGCUAGAGGAGAAAUUCGACAAUGGCAAUAGUGGCCAAUCAGAGUCGCCGGCCCUCAUGAAAACGCUUGAACAGUUGACGGCGAAACCCAGACUCGCUGGUGAAACAGCACGCCUGGGCUCCGUGUCCGCUUUGCAAUUGGCCCAAAACUCCGCUGGGAGUGUACCUCCCUCGGUGAUUGGUGAGCGGAAGGGGGCUUCCGAGGACAUCUGGCCAGUCAGAAUGUCUCCUCCCUCGCCGAGGUGGGGAGAAGAAGAAAGCAAAGGGAGGGCUUCUAUAAAGCGCCUUCUCAUUGGCCUGAAGCUUUGGAGCUGGAGUUAGGGUAAAAGGGGAAGGGAGGGAGGCCGAAAGCCUUAGCGGUAGCCAAUCGGCACUGACUGCCGUCCAAUCGCAAGACCUAGCUGCAGUGUGAUUGGCCUUCGGCCUCCGGCGGCGGUCCCAGGAGCCGGGAGAAGCUCGCCUGGGGUCGUGGCGGCUGCUCCCAGACCAUGUGGAAACCGCAAAGAGGGAACGCGGGCUCUCCACACAGCCGGUCCGAAACUGCUGCGGUUGGCGGGGCUGGGCUCGGAGCGCUCAGGCGAGCAGAAGGUGUAGGGGCUCUCCCCACCCACUAGAGGCUCUAAGCGGGACGCGGCUAAUCCUGCGCGCCCGAGACUCCCCUCUGUCCGGCGUAGUGCGUCCCGAGUACCAGCGUCUUCCUAGCCAGGGCCAGACGGAUCCAGGGUGCCUCCCCUGCUGUCUGCGAAUUCUCAGACAAAGCUUUCAGAGAGGCAGCGCCCCUGGGCUGCUGCGCCCCGCCCAGCCGCGGGGACCAUUGAUUAGAGUGAGGCCGACUGCGCCGGGUGCGCGCGCCUGGCCGGCCUUCUGGAAACGCCCCUGAGAAAUGAGCUCAUGCUGGAUGCGCGCGCUCCUUGGGCGCGUCUGCCCAGCGUAAAACGGGCCCCGAAAUCAGGAAACACGACACAAUUUUGCUGUAUUAGAGAUUCCAGAAAACACAGAAGCAUUUUGAUUUCCUUGAAGGCCACAAUGGAGAUCAUGAAAAUUUCCAAUAGAAGGUGGUGGUGACCUGACUUAAUGGGGCUGGCUCAAUGAUAAGUACCAGAAGUGUUCGAAGACAACAGAAACCUCAGCAGCAGACAUCCAUGUGACUACAGGAAGCCGCAGGUAGCAGAAAUGAAAAUGCUUCAAGAUACAGGAACAGAUACAUUCCAGAGAGAAAAUAGGACAAACAACUAAUUAAAUGCUGAACACUGGAAGAAAGAUCAACACAACAGCCCAAGAAACCAAAGUGGUGAAGUGAAUGAGGCCCACAAAAGAUUAGUAGUGAGUAUCAAACUUAGAUCUGGAUUGACAUUCCAGAUGAUUUAACAAUAACAGUGAGGUAGAUUGGGAUUCCGUUUGUACCUAAUUGCUAAUAUUUUAUUAUAUAAGAAUUAAUACAUGCAAAGGUGUAUAAUAAAAAGUUAAUCUACCUUUUUACCUAAUCACUGUAACUUUAAUAAACCAAGUCCAGAGACAA
Pteropus alecto (black flying fox) is the source of this 1710-nucleotide long non-coding RNA. RefSeq lists it as uncharacterized. The transcript has 3 exons. Lineage: Eukaryota; Metazoa; Chordata; Mammalia; Chiroptera; Pteropodidae. The record is from RefSeq and is a predicted model, not a curated record.